Molecule: long non-coding RNA, 708 nt
Filed under: Macaca mulatta (Rhesus monkey)
Lineage: Eukaryota; Metazoa; Chordata; Mammalia; Primates; Cercopithecidae
Description: lncRNA (ENSMMUG00000053380.1)
Source: RNAcentral
AAACUUGUUCAUCGUUUUUGCAAAAAGGCAACUUUGAAUUCCAGUUUGGACUCGGGUAAUAUUCUCUUGUUUCCUCAUUCAAAAGUGUGCUGAAAAUACUGCGCAUGUGUGAAUUCAAGAAUAACCAGGGAGUGGGCGAGGUCGAGGUUUGAAUUAUCCUGUGAGACACACCCGGAAACAGCCUCGCGGAGUGCUCAUCCUUCUGUGAUGCGGUGAAACACACCCGGAAACAGCCUCGCUGAGUGCUCAUCCUUCUGUGAUGCAGUGAGACGUACCCGGAAACAGCCUCACCGAGUGCUCAUCCUUCUGUGAUGCGGUGAGACGCACCGGGAAACAGCCUCGCUGAGUGCUCAUCCUUCUGUGAUGCGGUGAGACACACCCGGAAACAGCCUCGCUGAGUGCUCAUCCUUCUGUGAUGCGGUGAGACACGCCCGGAAACAGCCUCGCUGAGUGCUCAUCCUUCUGUGAUGCGGUGAGACACGCCCGGAAACAGCCUCGCUGAGUGCUCAUCCUUCUGUGAUGCGGUGAGACACGCCCGGAAACAGCCUCGCUGAGUGCUCAUCCUUCUGUGAUGCGGUGAGACGCGCCCGGAAACAGCCUCGCUGAGUGCUCAUCCUUCUGUGAUGCGGUGAGACGCACCCGGAAACAGCCUCGCUGAGUGCUCAUCCUUCUGUGAUGCGGUGAGACGCACCCGGAAACAGCCUCGCU